UGGGGAAUUUGGACAAUGGGCGAAAGCCUGAUCCAGCAAUGCCGCGUGUGUGAAGAAGGCCUUCGGGUUGUAAAGCACUUUUGUCCGGAAAGAAAUCCUUGGCUCUAAUACAGUCGGGGGAUGACGGUACCGGAAGAAUAAGCACCGGCUAACUACGUGCCAGCAGCCGCGGUAAUACGUAGGGUGCAAGCGUUAAUCGGAAUUACUGGGCGUAAAGCGUGCGCAGGCGGUUUGCUAAGACCGAUGUGAAAUCCCCGGGCUCAACCUGGGAACUGCAUUGGUGACUGGCAGGCUAGAGUAUGGCAGAGGGGGGUAGAAUUCCACGUGUAGCAGUGAAAUGCGUAGAGAUGUGGAGGAAUACCGAUGGCGAAGGCAGCCCCCUGGGCCAAUACUGACGCUCAUGCACGAAAGCGUGGGGAGCAAACAGGAUUAGAUACCCUGGUAGUCCACGCCCUAAACGAUGUCAACUAGUUGUUGGGGAUUCAUUCCUUAGUAACGUAGCUAACGCGUGAAGUUGACCGCCUGGGGAGUACGUCGCAAGAUUAAAACUCAAA
This 554-nucleotide ribosomal RNA is filed under the name uncultured bacterium. RNAcentral describes it as "partial 16S ribosomal RNA". It matches the Rfam family "Bacterial small subunit ribosomal RNA", at positions 356 to 905 of the family's 1533-position model. The record is from RNAcentral.